UGAUAAUUAGUUUAACCAAAACAAAUGAUUUCGACUCAUUAGAUUGUAGCUCAUAUUACAAUUAUCAA
Molecule: transfer RNA, 68 nt
Filed under: Martes americana (American marten)
Lineage: Eukaryota; Metazoa; Chordata; Mammalia; Carnivora; Mustelidae
Also listed under: 1 other name
Description: tRNA-Arg
Rfam family: tRNA
About the family: Transfer RNA (tRNA) molecules are approximately 80 nucleotides in length.
Source: RNAcentral